AUGAGCCCCUCCCGGGGAGGCCAGGUGGGGAGCAGGGCCCUGCAGGCACCUUGGGGGGAGGGGGCCUUCUCCAGGACCCCGUGGGUGCUGAGCAGGGCUUGGGGGAGGGGGCUCCUUGGUGAGCCCAGAAGGUCUCCUGGGGGGCUCAGCUCCGGGUCCCUGACAGUGCCCCGAAGCUCUCCAAAGCCCCCAGGGAAGCGCGGGCACCCUCUGACUAGCCGUAGGACCGCUACUUGUCUGCCUGCGUUUCUUCACCUACAACAGCGGCACUACAGGCCCGUGGGUGGUGCCUGCUGUGUGCUGAGCCCGUUACAAAUAGCCGGGCCUCGCAGCCGUCCUGGGGAGGGGCGGCGUCAUCCCCCUUUUACAGCGGAGGAAACUGAGGCCCCGUGUUUAAAUGACAGCCCCUCCCCCCGAGCCCUGGGUGCUGCGUCCCGGCCUUGGCCCUGGCAGGAGCCAAUCCAGCCUCCCGGGCAGCGGGCAGGCGCCCAGCUGGCCAGAUCCCUCCCUUCCCAGAGGCAGCGGCGGGAACCCUCAGGGCGGGGAAGGCAGGCAGGGCGGCAGCACCCAACCCUCCCUGUGAGGGCGCCUCAUUGGCUUUCAUGGAAGAGGCUUCAGCGAGCAGGCGAGCGCGCCGCCCGCCGGUGCCUCCCUGUGCGCGUCCCUGCAUCCCUGCACGCUCUCCCACUUCACGAGGGGCCCGGGCCACUCCGCUGUGAGACGGGCUGGCGGGGCACUCCAGGGUCCAGCGUGGGAUUUCCUUCCUGGGACCCGGGGGUGGCUCUGGCUCCGCCCUCAGGAGGCCCCUCCCUCUCCUGGCAUCUUGCCUGCUCCCGCCCCCGGCCUGCCAUCUCUGCCUUCGCUGGGCUCCCCCCGCCCGACCUGUCUCGCGCACAGCCAACAAAACGGCUCCCUUUGGGUACAGCCACGACCCCCUCACACCUGCCCAGUCAACGCCGGCGGCUCCCCUCCUGGUCUAGAUUCGUUUGUACCAUAUUACAUCAUUUCUCCAUUUGUGUUGGGUUAUACUGA
RNAcentral lists this long non-coding RNA (1032 nucleotides) under Monodelphis domestica (gray short-tailed opossum). RNAcentral's name for it is "lncRNA (ENSMODG00000027547.1)". Lineage: Eukaryota; Metazoa; Chordata; Mammalia; Didelphimorphia; Didelphidae. The record is from RNAcentral.